GUAGGCCCAAAAUUUAAAUGAUAAGAUUAGAGAUUAAAUGUAACAUGACUUUCUAGGAAUAUGUCCAUUUUUAAAAAAAAAAUCACACAUGAAUCAAAGUUGUGACUUCUGUUUUAAUAUAUAAGAUAUAUUACUCCAAACUAUAUACUCUAAAUUUUAACACUACUUAUCUUAACCCUAAAUAAUAUUUUAAACUACACAUAAAACUUAAUCUUAAUACCCUAAAACGAAAACUCAAACCCUGCAUACACGACCAUACAUUCAUCUUUUUUAUUUAAUUGGUUAUAUUUUUAAAAUAUUUAAACACUGAAUUUUAAAUAUAAUGUAAAAACUAAAUUAUUUCAUUGGUUUCUCUUAAAAAUAUUCCCACCAACACUCACCAAAUUCCCUUUCUCCUUCCCGCCGCACAUCUUGACCAAAACUAAGACACUAAAUAAAAAUAUUUAAGCUAAAACUAAAACAUUUAUAUGUGUCCUUAUUGGUCAACCAUUGAUGCAAUUGCAUCCAAUGGUUACAGUUUUUUUCAGUAUCUUUUUGUUUUUCUGUUUUAAUUCUCUUUCUCAUCUCUUUCGUUUUCUCUUCUCUCUUCCUUCAAUGGCAGAUCUCCAUCUUCUCUUCUUGUAUCAUACUCUUUGUUUUUCUCUUUUCCUUAUUUGUUUUUCCCGAAAAUCUCAUCUCUUCUCUUUCUCUUUGAUCUGUUCAAUCUUCUCUUGGAUCUAUGAACCGCCUCCGAUCAAAUACAUACCAAGAUCUAUCGCGGCUUAAGUUUGCAUUACCAGGUUAAAGUGUCAGAGGUGAAUCACGGUAUGGCUCCACCAAGUCACCUCCUAGAUUCUGAGAUACCCCAAAAGCCUAAAUCAGAAACAUGUCUUUAUAUCUCCUACGCAUCAUCCUCUCAUCUCUAUUGGUUGUUGUAUGAAGCUUAUUGAUUCCACAUUGAUUAAAAGGAUAUUGAAAUAGGGUGAAUAUACAUUGAAACAGGCUUGAGAGACGAUGGAGAAACUCCGUUAUCAAGCAGACGAGGCGACAGAGAAACUAUGAUGUCUGUAGCAGACGGCACGAUAGAAGUCAACUUCGGUGACUAGGUGAUGCGACGACAACACUCUGAAGGCGGAUGCUCUGGAGGCUGGAGGUAGAGACGGAGGAUUAGGGUUGCAGGCGGAGGCUUAGUUUAGGUUUAGGUUAAUUAUGUUUUGGCUAAUUAUGUUUUGUUUAAAUGUUUUAAUCUGUUUUUUUUGUCUAAUGUGUUCUUUAAUUAUUUGUAUACUGAUUUUAAUUAAUAGAUAAAAUUAAUUUUAA
Long non-coding RNA from Brassica napus (rape), 1299 nucleotides. RefSeq lists it as uncharacterized. Lineage: Eukaryota; Viridiplantae; Streptophyta; Magnoliopsida; Brassicales; Brassicaceae. The record is from RefSeq and is a predicted model, not a curated record. The transcript has 2 exons.